RNAcentral lists this transfer RNA (71 nucleotides) under Marmota monax (woodchuck). RNAcentral describes it as "tRNA.Ala". It matches the Rfam family "tRNA". Rfam says of the family: Transfer RNA (tRNA) molecules are approximately 80 nucleotides in length. Their secondary structure includes four short double-helical elements and three loops (D, anti-codon, and T loops). Further hydrogen bonds mediate the characteristic L-shaped molecular structure. tRNAs have two regions of fundamental functional importance: the anti-codon, which is responsible for specific mRNA codon recognition, and the 3' end, to which the tRNAs corresponding amino acid is attached (by aminoacyl-tRNA synthetases). tRNAs cope with the degeneracy of the genetic code in two manners: having more than one tRNA (with a specific anti-codon) for a particular amino acid; and 'wobble' base-pairing, i.e. permitting non-standard base-pairing at the 3rd anti-codon position. Lineage: Eukaryota; Metazoa; Chordata; Mammalia; Rodentia; Sciuridae. The record is from RNAcentral.
GGGGUUGUGGCUCAGUGGUAGAGUGCUUGCCUAGCACACAUGAGGCCCUGGGUUCGAUCCUCAGCACCACA